GCAAAUAUGGUUGAGUGGUUAAGGCGACUAACUCGAAAUCAGUUUCCAUCUUGGAGCGUAGGUUCGAAUCCUACUAUCUGCG
RNAcentral lists this transfer RNA (82 nucleotides) under Daphnia pulex (common water flea). It matches the Rfam family "tRNA". Rfam says of the family: Transfer RNA (tRNA) molecules are approximately 80 nucleotides in length. Their secondary structure includes four short double-helical elements and three loops (D, anti-codon, and T loops). The record is from Rfam by way of RNAcentral. Lineage: Eukaryota; Metazoa; Arthropoda; Branchiopoda; Diplostraca; Daphniidae.